Molecule: transfer RNA, 77 nt
Filed under: Nitrospinota bacterium
Lineage: Bacteria; Pseudomonadati; Nitrospinota
Description: tRNA-Arg
Rfam family: tRNA
About the family: Transfer RNA (tRNA) molecules are approximately 80 nucleotides in length. Their secondary structure includes four short double-helical elements and three loops (D, anti-codon, and T loops).
Source: RNAcentral
GCGCCCGUAGCUCAGCAGGAUAGAGCAACGGACUUCUAAUCCGUAGGUCAUUGGUUCGAAUCCAAUCGGGCGCACCA